GUUAUAGGGUCAAGCGAACAAGUGCAUGUGGUGGAUGCCUUGGCGAUCACAGGCGAUGAAGGACGCGGUAGCCUGCGAAAAGCUACGGGGAGCUGGCAAACGAGCUUUGAUCCGUAGAUGUCCGAAUGGGGAAACCCACUCCUUUUGGAGUAUCCAUGGCUGAAUACAUAGGCCAUGCGAAGCGAACGCGGUGAACUGAAACAUCUAAGUAACCGCAGGAAAAGAAAUCAACCGAGAUUCCCAAAGUAGUGGCGAGCGAAAUGGGAUGAGCCUUGCACUCUUUAUUUGUAUUGUUAGCCGAACGCUCUGGAAAGUGCGGCCAUAGCAGGUGAUAGCCCUGUAGGCGAAAACAGUAUGAAAGAACUAGGUGUGCGACAAGUAGGGCGGGACACGUGAAAUCCUGUCUGAAGAUGGGGGACCAUCCUCCAAGGCUAAAUACUCGUGAUCGACCGAUAGUGAACCAGUACCGUGAGGGAAAGGCGAAAAGAACCC
RNAcentral lists this ribosomal RNA (492 nucleotides) under Burkholderia cenocepacia. Its description in RNAcentral is "bacterial LSU rRNA". It matches the Rfam family "Bacterial large subunit ribosomal RNA", at positions 1 to 526 of the family's 2925-position model. The record is from RNAcentral. Lineage: Bacteria; Pseudomonadati; Pseudomonadota; Betaproteobacteria; Burkholderiales; Burkholderiaceae.